UGUGUCAGACUAAAAAGGGGCAUGAACAGGUGUCAAGGUAGGGGCACUUGCUCUCUCUCCUGGGAGCAGGAACAGGGCCUACACAAGGUCUAAGAUUUGUUCUAUGGACCCUUUUUACUGGACCACCCUCCACAGGCUCUACAGCAUGAGUGGUACCUUGUACCUCUACAACCCUAUGAACAGUAGGCCCCCACGCAUCUUGGAUCUUAUUUCUGCCCUGAGGCCGGUGGCGAAGAUACACCAACUGACCCACAUCCACUGGUGGACAGUAAACUUUGCGUUUGUCAAACUCAACUCUUUCCGCUGCUUUCUGCUCAGCAUAUUCUUUAGCUCUAGCAUGGGCUUCAUUAAGACGCUCCUGAUGCACUAUCAGCCAAUCAUGUUUCUUGUCUUGCACUUGCUCCUGCCCCAGCAGAGCAUCCACAGGGAGGUGUGGGUGCACCCCGAAAAGUAGGUAGGACGGUGUGUAACCAGUAGUAGCAUGAGGUGUCACAUUGUAGGCAUGGACUAGCUCUGCUAAGUGUUCAGGCCAACGCCGCUUCUUCUCAGGUGGAAGGGUACGCAAGAGAUCAUGGAGUGUCCUAUUGUAUCUCUCACAUUGUGCAUUUCCCUGGGGAUGAUGAGGUGUAGUUCGGGUUUUCUUUACACCAUAUAGUUUGCAUAACUCUGUAACUAUUUCGCUUUCAAAGUUUCGGCCCUGGUCUGAAUGUAGCCUCUCAGGCACACCAUACUUCAUAAAUCACUCCUGGAGGAGAAUCUUUGCAGUAGUGUUCGCUUUCUGAUCCCGAGUAGGGAACGCUUGUGUGAACUUUGUAAACACAUCUGUUCCAACCAAAACACUCUCUCUGCCAUCUGAAGCAGGCUCUAAAAUGGUAAAGUCUACUGCAACCACCUCCAGUGGUCGUGUGGCCAAAAAUGCCUUCAUCGGAGCAUGUAUCUUGGGCUGGGGCAUUUUGGUUAAGACGCACCUCUGACAUUUUUUAACCCAUUGUUCGACGUCAUCAUACAUGCCCACCCAGAAACACCUCUGUUUCAGAAGGUUUUGCGUUCUUUCAAUUCCCUGAUGCCCCAUCUGAUCAUGUACACUCUCUAAGACUGGUUCUCUCAAACAGGUGGGUAACAGAAGUUGGUGACAUACACCCACAUGAACAUCAUCAAACACACGAUAGAGGAAAUCAUCUAUCUCCUUGAUUCGGCCCCACUGCCUAAAUAAGGAGAUCACCGGCUUGGCUAACUUUGUCCUCUCCAUAAAGCCUCUGCAGAACCUUCUCCAGCCUCGCUAGGUGAUCUUCAAAAGACUUAACCUCUUCCUGUUCAGCGGAUACGCUGGAAGCGCACCUCUGUCUGGUCAUUUUCAACACACUCUGCCCGAGACACUGUGCCCAACCUGGUCCUGGGCUGCAACCAUACAUCCUCCUGUGAGAAAUUCACUACCUAGACUGGGAACACCCGCCUAGUAGCCUCUACCAAAGUGGGCACUACCACAAGACCACCUGGCAAUGGUGCCUUUGCUGGUUCCAACACCAUUAACUGACUCUUCUGAGACUGGAUCUUUGACAACUAGAAAACCACACUCUGGCUGUUCAUCGUCAGCUGAUGAGCCACACCUGAGCCUGGUGGGAGUGCCGGCUAUAAAGGCACGCCACCUGAACAUAGAGGCUGGUCGUGCCCUUGCUGGCUUGUGCGUAUAUGGCUUUCACUGCUGCCUAGUAGUUUUGGUAGUCUUUAAAUACAUGUCCAUCUUUUACAUUGACACUUGUCUGGUAUCUUCAUGUUUCAGCCUUUAAGCCAGGUUGUAGUGGGUUUAAAUAACACUGUAGUAUAUCUGUCUUCUGAAAUGUAAGUAGGCUAUUGAACAUCUGUAAGGUUGUCGGUACAUUAGUGGAAUUGCUAAUGAAAAUGAAUUUGUUUGUUGUUGUUGUGGGUUUAUGUUUAAUUAAUACAAUAAAAGAUUAAUCUUUAUUCAGCCAGGUGACAUUUGGUAGUUUCAGCUAAACACGGUCACAGAGUAAUUAUAAAUUUAUUAAAAACUACAGUUGAAAUUGAAUACAAAUGUGUCAAAAUGGCAGUACAUUAAGUAUGUUGGUUGUAUUUUCAAUGAUAAACUAUAAAAAAUAAAAUGUAUAUAAACUUG
Molecule: long non-coding RNA, 2134 nt
Organism: Pseudoliparis swirei
Lineage: Eukaryota; Metazoa; Chordata; Actinopteri; Perciformes; Liparidae
Exons: 5
Source: RefSeq, a predicted model, not a curated record